Small nucleolar RNA from Tupaia belangeri (northern tree shrew), 200 nucleotides. Its record names the gene SNORA74. It matches the Rfam family "Small nucleolar RNA SNORA74". Rfam says of the family: U19 belongs to the H/ACA class of snoRNAs. snoRNAs bind a number of proteins (including dyskerin, Gar1p and Nop10p in the case of the H/ACA class) to form snoRNP complexes. This class are thought to guide the sites of modification of uridines to pseudouridines by forming direct base pairing interactions with substrate RNAs. The record is from Ensembl. NCBI's taxonomy places the organism in Eukaryota, Metazoa, Chordata, Mammalia, Scandentia, Tupaiidae.
UCCAGCGGCUGUCAGCUCUCCAGGCUAGUGUGAUGCCUGUGAUGGGGUUACGCUGUUGGAAGAGCAAGCACUGUCUUUGUGGAGGUUUGUCUACAGCACUGUUUUGGUGUGACAGCCAAGAACCUUUGGGAAGUGUUUUGUACCUCUGAGAGUGAAAUAAUUCCUCCUGUGGAGUUUGUCCUAGUCUGGGUGCAAACAAU